UCUCGAUUGGUCUAGUGGUGAGGAUACCUGCUUGUCAUUGGAUAGCUAUCGCUUAGAUAGGAAUUAUUAAUGCGCAGGCGGCCGGGGUUCGAUUCCCCGAUCGAGAG
This 107-nucleotide transfer RNA is filed under the name Xylaria arbuscula. Its description in RNAcentral is "tRNA-Asp". It matches the Rfam family "tRNA". Rfam says of the family: Transfer RNA (tRNA) molecules are approximately 80 nucleotides in length. Their secondary structure includes four short double-helical elements and three loops (D, anti-codon, and T loops). The record is from RNAcentral. Lineage: Eukaryota; Fungi; Ascomycota; Sordariomycetes; Xylariales; Xylariaceae.